ACAGCGCACUCCCGUCGCGUGCCGCCCCAUGGCCCAGUGGAUGUUCCUGUAUCUGGAUACCGACUCUGAUGGUCAGCUGGAAGCGAGAGAGUUGUACGCCGUGGAGAGGGAUGAAAUGAGCCCUGUCUGAAGCCGUUCUGGACAGCUGCGACCUCAACAGCGACAUCUUCCUCACGACCAGAGAGUGGUGUACCUGCUUCCAGGCCGUACCGGCGCCCUGUAAGGACCGUCAGCGGGAGAACGCCGCCAGACUGGGAGCCUACACGCCGGCCUGCGACCAGGACGGUUUCUUCCGUCCGACCCAGUGCCACGGAUCGCAGUGCUGGUGUGCUGACCGGUACGGUGUCGAACAGAAGGGAACCCGCACGCGGCGCGGCAACACCAGAUGCGAUGGCGAGACCUCUCGCUAUGACGCCGAUUUCAACAUCGCCGACGAAGACGAUGAGGACAAUUACGUCGUGGAUGGCAGCGGCAGCGGACCUCUGCUUGAGUUCUAGAUGGCGCUGAUGUCGCCCACACCGGCCCAACGUCAUCUAGCGUGGCGUUUUCAGUGGUACAGGUGGCGCUAUCGGCGAUAUAGGUGGCGCUGUAACCGGUAAAGGCGGCGCUGUCGUCGGUAUAGAUGGCGCUAUCGCCGGUAUAGAGGGCGCUACGUGUGGAGCGUCAUCUUUGUCCAGUGGCACCACCUGUGCUAUGCGCCGCCCCUCUCUCCCGGCAGCUAAUUGGGCUCUGUUAGCGGUCACAUGACCCCGCCCUCUGCAUUCCCUCAUUAUUGGGGAAGCUUAGUUUGAGUUUUAGCGAGAACGGAACGAUAAGGAACUGACCCGAAUGAUCCUCUGUCUCUACAGAGUGAUGUGUAACGUCUGUAAGGGUCGGAUGGCGUUCAUUAAACAUUCCAAAUCGACAUUUGUGACUGCAUGUCACAUUGCUGAGACUGCUUCACCAUUUUACCUCUUUCCUAACCUAUGCUGUUCUUCGUCCGUUUCUUCGCCUUCCUCCCUCCCUCCCUCCUAUUGCUUGUUUUUUUUUUGCUAUUUUCGUUCCUUCGGUAGUAAACAGAAACUUGCGGCAGCUAACUACUUGAGCAAAACUGUAUGCACAGCACUGUGCAUACAGUUUUGCGUAUCGUAGUACCCUUCCGAUUACAUGAGGUCAAAAGCACUUCUUAACUCAAUGUGCUACACAUUCCAUUAUUUCGCCGUCCAUUUGUGCUUUUAGUUCGCCUCAGUUAUGACGUCAUAUUGUGACGUCACAGUGUACGGACCGCCGUCGGUGUUUGGCGUCGAAAAGGUCUUGCAGGUGUCUCAAACGCUCUCUUACCAUUUCGGCCGCAUGUGUGAGGUCACUGUGUGUCGCGCGUAUGACGUCACUUUUAGCCGCAUGUGACGUCACCGCUUAUGAUGACGUAACCAGGUGUUUUCGAAAGCACCAGUAGUGUUGGCAAGCAAUGCAGUGUACGUUUUUGAAACUGAAAAAUCUUUGCAAAAUUGUUUCCUGAUGCUUUGCUUUUAUUCAAGUUUUGUAUUAAUUGCGCAACAAUUGAAAACCGUGAGCGGUGAUAAUAUGUUACUAAAGUGACAUGAGAUAUGCUUUCACCUUAAAGUUCUAACAGCCUUACAGUCAAAACUCCAGGAUAUCUGAAUCAUGUGCUUGCGUCCUCAGUUUAAGGCUAAACCGAGCCAGAAGCUGCUCAUUUGCGACUUGAUGUAAGCUAACGUCCAAUAAUUGGCGAAUCCGAAUGUGCGUUUGGAUGCUCUAGAACGUAGCAAUCAGAACACAGUAGAUACACGCAGAGCCAUCUGUUCGGUGUCUACCGCUUCGCAGAGUCGUGGCGCGGCCCCGGAACGUCGUGCUCCAGCCAUCCGCGGGCUGGUAGAUCGCUCUACUUAACCACGAGUCGGUAGACUCGUUUCGAUUCCGUGCCAUUGUAUAAUAUACUACUAACUGAC
RNAcentral lists this long non-coding RNA (1949 nucleotides) under Amphibalanus amphitrite. Its description in RNAcentral is "uncharacterized LOC122375526". Lineage: Eukaryota; Metazoa; Arthropoda; Thecostraca; Balanomorpha; Balanidae. The record is from RNAcentral.